CCAUGCGAGUCAACGUAUGGAAUAAUACGUGGGCGAACGGCUCAGUAACACGCUAGNNCAACAUGCCCAAAGGACGUGGAUAACCUCGGGAAACUGAGGAUAAACCGCGAUAGGUCAUAAGUACUGGAAUGUUUUAUGGCUCAAAUCUACAUGGCCUCUGGAUUGGACUGCGGCCGAUCAGGCUGUUGGUGAGGUAAUGGCCCACCAAACCUGUUACCGGUACGGGCUCUGAGAGGAGGAGCCCGGAGAUGGGCACUGAGACAAGGGCCCAGGCCCUAUGGGGCGCAGCAGGCGCGAAACCUCUGCAAUAGGCGAAAGCUUGACAGGGUUACUCUGAGUGAUUCCCGCUAAGGGAAUCUUUUGGCAUCUCUAAAAACGAUGCAGAAUAANGNGUGGGCAAGUCUGGUGUCAGCCGCCGCGGUAAUACCAGCACCCCGAGUGGUCGGGACGAUUAUUGGGCCUAAAGCAUCCGUAGCCGGUCUUGCAAGUCUUCCGUUAAAUCCACCUGCUUAACAGAUGGGCUGCGGAAGAUACUACAAGACUAGGAGGCGGGAGAGGCAAGCGGUACUCANUGGGUAGGGGUAAAAUCCUCUGAUCCAUUGAAGACCACCAGUGGCGAAGGCGGCUUGCCAGAACGCNCCUCNNCGGUGAGGGAUGAAAGCUGGGGGAGCAAACCGGAUUAGAUACCCGGGUUANUNCCA
Molecule: ribosomal RNA, 701 nt
Filed under: uncultured crenarchaeote
Lineage: Archaea; Thermoproteati; Thermoproteota
Description: bacterial SSU rRNA
Rfam family: Archaeal small subunit ribosomal RNA
Source: RNAcentral